This 301-nucleotide ribosomal RNA is filed under the name uncultured bacterium. RNAcentral describes it as "partial 16S ribosomal RNA". It matches the Rfam family "Bacterial small subunit ribosomal RNA", at positions 509 to 808 of the family's 1533-position model. The record is from RNAcentral.
CAGUAGCCGCGGGAAUACGUAGGGUGCAAGCGUUAAUCGGAAUUACUGGGCGUAAAGCGCGCGCAGGCGGAUCAGUCAGUCUGUCUUAAAAGUUCGGGGCUUAACCCCGUGAGGGGAUGGAAACUGCUGAUCUAGAGUAUCGGAGAGGAAAGUGGAGUUCCUAGUGUAGCGGUGAAAUUCGUAGAUAUUCGGAGGAACACCAGUGGCGAAGGCGGCUCACUGGUCCAUUACUGACGCUGAGGUGCGAAAGCGUGGGGAGCAAACAGGAUUAGAUACCCCGGUAGUCCCUGUCUCUUAUACA